This is a long non-coding RNA of Terrapene triunguis (Three-toed box turtle), 495 nucleotides long. RefSeq lists it as uncharacterized. The transcript is spliced from 3 exons. The record is from RefSeq and is a predicted model, not a curated record. NCBI's taxonomy places the organism in Eukaryota, Metazoa, Chordata, Testudines, Emydidae.
CUGGCAGGGAGCUGCCGAAGCCGUGGGCCGAGCCGAUGGGCCGGGCGUGCUGAGCAGGUGUCUUCAUGUGCCAGAGACCCCACCAGCACCCCAUGAACACCUCUGGAUACCUUGGAGGAGCCUGAGACAGAGAUCCCUGCCAAGAACUGUGAGGAGAAGGAGGGAGGGAGAAGACAUGAGCAGGGACUCCAGCCAUGCCAUGAGCUAGGGUCUAUUUGCAACUCCACCACAGUCUAGCCUGUCCCGAGCAUGGAUGAGCCUGAUGAAGGAGAAUUGAACUCUGCAGCUUCUGACACGGAGGGCUUGAGGGGUGCACCUGACCAAAAUGAGGAGGAGUAAAAAGAGGACUGGGGAGCACAUGUUCUGCAAAAUCCUGCAAGCCAGUGCUGUAUCGGACUGUGAACAAAGGGCUUGAAAGGCCAAUGUGACUGACAGUAUGGAGAAGGACAGAGAGGACAGGGAAAAGGCCAGGAGUCCCAGCUAGAUAAGGAGAGG